This 474-nucleotide ribosomal RNA is filed under the name uncultured bacterium. RNAcentral's name for it is "SSU rRNA". It matches the Rfam family "Bacterial small subunit ribosomal RNA", at positions 26 to 521 of the family's 1533-position model. The record is from RNAcentral.
AGGAUGAACGCUGGCGGCGUGCCUAACACAUGCAAGUCGAACGUCCUGUCUCGCAAGGGGCAGGGAGUGGCGGACGGGUGAGUACCACGUGGGUCAUCUACCGUGAGGUGAGGAAUACCGGCGAGAAAUCGCCGACAAGACCGCAUAGGCUCGAUGCAAGUCGAGCAAAGCUCUUUCGAGAGAGGGAGCGCCACACGAGGAGCCUGCGCCCGAUUAGCUAGCUGGUGGAGUAACGGUUCACCAGGGCGACGAUCGGUAGCUGGUCUGAGAGGACGAUCAGCCACACUGGGAUUGAGAACGGCCCAGACUCCUACGGGGGGCAGCAGUGAGGAAUUUUCGUCAAUGGGGCAACCCUGAACGAGCAACGCCGCGUGCAGGAAGAAGGUUUUCGGAUCGUAAACUGCUCUUCUCGGGAAGAGAAUGGACGGUACCCGAGGAAUCGAGCCCGGCUAACUACGCGCCAGCAGCCGCGGU